UGGGGAAUAUUGCACAAUGGGGGAAACCCUGAUGCAGCCACGCCGCGUGUGUGAAGAAGGCCUUCGGGUUGUAAAGCACUUUCAGCGAGGAGGAAAGGUUGAUGCCUAAUACGUAUCAACUGUGACGUUACUCGCAGAAGAAGCACCGGCUAACUCCGUGCCAGCAGCCGCGGUAAUACGGAGGGUGCAAGCGUUAAUCGGAAUUACUGGGCGUAAAGCGCACGCAGGCGGUUGGAUAAGUUAGAUGUGAAAGCCCCGGGCUCAACCUGGGAAUUGCAUUUAAAACUGUCCAGCUAGAGUCUUGUAGAGGGGGGUAGAAUUCCAGGUGUAGCGGUGAAAUGCGUAGAGAUCUGGAGGAAUACCGGUGGCGAAGGCGGCCCCCUGGACAAAGACUGACGCUCAGGUGCGAAAGCGUGGGGAGCAAACA
Molecule: ribosomal RNA, 427 nt
Filed under: uncultured bacterium
Lineage: Bacteria
Description: partial 16S ribosomal RNA
Rfam family: Bacterial small subunit ribosomal RNA
Source: RNAcentral